Halichondria panicea is the source of this 4544-nucleotide long non-coding RNA. RefSeq lists it as uncharacterized. Lineage: Eukaryota; Metazoa; Porifera; Demospongiae; Suberitida; Halichondriidae. The transcript has 5 exons. The record is from RefSeq and is a predicted model, not a curated record.
ACAACGGCAAUUAGAGACCUGAUUAGCAAAGGUUAAGUGCUUUGCGCCUCCUCUGGCCGAUUUCAAUCGGCGUGGUCUCGAGGCUAAGUGUCGCGAGGAGUCUUGCCAUCAGGGACAUUGAUGGAACCAUAGAUUGAAAAGGAAGGGGAUUGGAAACGACCAGGCCUCCCUGUGUAAAUGGUUGAAACACUCCGCGUUAUGAUUUUGCGCUCGUGAUUAUUUUUGUUUUGACCGUACUCUGGUUGUAUUUCAACUGUUUCUAGGUCUCCUAUCCACUAGCGAUCACUCAGAGGCUGGGAGGUUACUCUAGAGAAGUAAGUUUACACCACUGACAAGCUCUAACUUGUCUAAGUCCGCUGUUUUUACUCUGUUUUUAGUUUUUGUUGAGUAUAGCUUGAAUUACUCCAUGUCAACUUUUCUCUUUCCCUGCUGCGAAGCCUAAACAGCAAAAGACAUUGCUUGACUUGGUUAUUAUGUAUCUAAGUGCUAUAUAGAAUGGUUUCAUGCCAUAGAUAAGCUUUACUGUUCGUAAACGUUUGCAGUAUAGUCCUUCAAACUGCUUUAGUAUACUUUUAGACACACCACGGGCCUUGACCUCUCACGACUUCAUAGUAAGGGCUAUUCCUUCUUUUAUAGCAUUUAUUUGUUUAGUGAUAGUGGUUGCGUUGCUUAGUCGAUCUUUUAGAGCUAUAUUCUCUUUACUUUUUAGAAUAUUCAACAUUAAAAGUGAUCAAUUUCACCAUUUCUAUGUACAGCACAUUGUAUGGUAUGGCAGCAAAGACAGGUAAUGAGCAUGCUGACUAUAAAAUAAUCCCUUUGUAGUUUUAGCCACGCCCUAUAACGCGGAGUGUUUCACGCAAAAAUUUUCGUUUCCAAUCCCCUUCCUCUUUUGGAACACAGGACAGUCGAAAAGCAACUGGAAUAAAUGCGAGAAGUUUAUUUUCCAGGAAGUGGGCGUGUCCGGAAGCAAAUAGCUGGUGCCAUUGUGUGAGUAGCUGCCUGUAGUUAGAGCUGUGUAGCAUAGACCCAGACCACUGUUAGAAGCUGUUCAAAGCUCAGAAGGCCAGUGAUGACUUUUGUUUCUAUAUUCUCCUUGUCACUGUCACUGGUCUUCGCUGUCUGAGUCCAAUUCAAUUUCCGGCUCUUUCGUUUCAGCAAACUCUCUGCAAAUGGACCAGAAGUACAUUCUGGUCCACAGCCACAGUAAUAAUGGCUGUAUCCCACUGCUGCUAUAACAUUUAGAAAUGCUUAAAAACUCGCUAUUAUGUGGCAAAUAACGGUGAGAUUAAUUAACCUGUUGCUCGUUAAUGUUGGAUGUUCAGGAAUAAUUUAUGAGUAACAUUACAGGUUUAUUCCACUUGCUAGGUAUACUAAAUAAGCUGGGUAGGUUAGUUGAGCUUCUCUACAGUGGGGUAAGCAUAUACAGUGGUCUGUUCAGGCAAUUCCUGAUUAAACAAAUUUUUGACCUGUAAUAUUAGCAUAUUUUUCGUACCACACAGAAUACAAGUAGGACUGAUUUGGACGAUGCUUGGAAUGUAUUGAGGAGGACAUCUGUUGGAUGUAAUACACAAAAAUAAUGUGGCUUAUUGUGUGCUCACAUCUCUCCAACUAGUACUAUUUUGUGGUUUUUUAUAUAGCAUUUUCAACGAUGCAUUUCUCGACUCUCAAUGGAUCGACACGAAAAAGUUAAACAAUUACGUAUAGAUGUUCAUCAAUCCUAUAAGAUAGCACUGAACAUGUUCAAAUUCAUCUCAUACUUUUGCAACAAUUUGUCAGUUCAGUUUGCUGUGGCAUGUAAAUUUGUAUAAAUUUGUUAGUGUUGAAGUUUCUAAGCAAAGCCACAUGGCGGCUUUGUGGCUAUAUUUAGUUCCUGCCAUGUGUAAUAGAUUGGUGCAGGAAGCAGGAAACAAACUGCAAAGGGAAGAGAGUUAUAAAAAAAUGCUACUUUUGCGAAUAGCUCAUUAAUAAUUAUAUUCAUGAGAAAAUAAAACUCCACAUAGGAGCAUGCGCUGGAACCAUUGCCGUUCGACUGGGGAAGAAACUCGUGAAGACCCAGUGAGGGUAGAGUAUAGCGGGGCAAGAGUGAAGUGGUGUUGGUCUAGCCGUACUGAGGAACACACUAUGGAGCAGAACCCAGCUCAGCAUUUCAAAUGCCCAGACUAAACAAGCUAAAAAUGAAGAAACGCCUUCGAAGUGAUGACAACUGGCUGGAGGACGAAGGCUCGGGCAAUGUGGUUGUCGCAAAUACUAAGAGGUUUAAAGGUCGUUGUGUGGACUUCAUACAACAGUGGAGAGGGCUAUGUGUUUCGUAUCAGCGGUGGCAGUGACAAGUAGGGCUUCCCCAUGAAGCAAGGUGUCCUCACUAAUGGCCGUGUUAAGCUCCUCCUCAAGAAGGGGCACAGACCCAGACGCACUUGAGAGAGGAAACGCAAGUCAGUGAGAGGCUGCAUAGUGGACAGCAACCUGAGUGUGCUCAAUCUAGUCAUCAUCAAGAAAGGUGGGUACACAACUCUGCUGAUUUAGAUGUACUCUGAUGAGAAUUGACUUUGUUAGGUGUAACUAUUGGGCAGGGUUUCAUAGAGAGGGGAGGGGAUUCCCCCGAUUAAUGAUGUCAUGAUGUACAAGAAUUAAAAUAAGUGUACUAGAACCCCUUGUGUAUUAUCGUUACGUAGUCAUCGUAUACGUGGCUUAAAUUUAUCAUGGAAAAACACACAUUGCACCUCAGAUAAUCAUUUAAUUGUUCUGGGGAACGACCCCUGACCCCUGACCCCCUGAAUUAAACGCUUCCCCCUCUCAGCUAAACAUUUUUUAGAAGUGCCCGAAAUAUUAUAAUGAAGUGUCAUUGUAAUGAGGUCAUUGUUACCCAGAGUGUCCCCUCAGAUCUGUGCCCGGCCCUACACUGUGUUCCGAUGGUGUCCUGGUGCUAAGAUGCGCUACAAGAGAACAAAGGUCUGCCAAUCAUGUGCCCAACUCAAGAACGUCUGUUAAACCUGUCUCCUUGUACCGCCCACCGCGGAUCAGGAUCUCCUGGACUACAACGGAAUUGUCAACCAGCCAAGGCCACAGCGAAGGAUUCUUUUAGAGCAUUCGCCUCCGUCGGGCAAAGAAAGAUGCAACUAACUUUUAGGCAACUGCCUAGCAUUCUCUGUCGGGAUCUCCUGGUUUGGAACGGACCAGCCAAGGCCACAGCACUUCAUAGGUAAGCUUUGUGGCUGUGUAUUAAACUGCUAGUACGCUUACUCUACAUAUAGAUAGCUUGUAAAGUAGUAAAUGUACACUGGUUACGUGUUACAGUCAGUACUAAGUAUUUCUACUCAUGUUCAACAGGCAGGAUAAAAACUCAUAGGAGUUGACGUUUUAUACAACUAGUUACAUGUUCUUAUGCCAUAGCAUAAAACAGUCAGAUGAGGGGUUGCCAGUGUGGCAAAACCACUUCUCGCACUGUAGGCAAAACCAUGCUGUGUCCUUCCUUUUGUUUUUCUGAUAACACAGAUGGCAACGACCUCUGCGUACAUCCAUGGUGGUGAAGAGGGAAGUGAGCUAUUCCUAGCGAUUUCAAGGGUGUCUUGCUCUUUUUGGAGCAGUAGUCGCCAAUUAGCUUCUUGGCCAACUCGUGACGAAAUGAGAGGAGGGUUUUCAGUGCGUUGGUGGGUGAAUACUGUCGAUAUAAUAUGUAGCUGUUCGUAAUGCAAAUAUCCUUUAGGAAGAAGUAAAUGUACAUAUAAAACUUAUGGACUUUUGUAGGGCAUCUGUAGUACCCUCUGAGCUGAUCCCCUCUGUCAACACCCCCCAUGAAGCGAUUAUGGUCCUCGAUGCUCUGUGGGCACGGGACGGAGAUUUUUUCGCCUGUCUUGACUGUACGUUGUACAGAGAUAACCGAAGUGGCGUCAGAGGCUGUGGAGAUCACACGGACAACCCUAUUGUCACUGAGACCGUCACCUUUUUCUUUCUGGAGAGUCAUGUAUUCCCCCCUGAAAAGGUAAAUAAUAAUUAUGCUUAUUACUUUCUGUCAGCUUUGGCUGCUUGAGAGCCUUGGAGAAGCCUCUGCGGUCAGCGCGAGCUGUACCACAAGUAUAAAUGCCAUCCUUCUCCAAGUCUUCCAACAGUUUGACAGACGUGAAAAAGUUGUCAAAAUAGACGUGGUGGUGCUUGCAUGUGCUUCAACGAGGCUGUGAGGUCUUUCACAACUCAUGCUCCCAGUUGCUUCUCUGGUGUGGCUUCUCUCCCUGUAUACACUUGUAGCAUGUGGAAGUACCCGUCUGCUAGGACCCAAACCUUGAUUCCUCUCUUCACAGGUUUAUUUGGGAGGUACUGUUUCAGUGCAGAUCUACCCUGAAACUUUAUCAUUGCCUCGUCUACUGCAACUUCACGGCCUAAGUUGUAUGCAGCAGAACAGCGCUCGUUGAUCUUAUUGAAGAGGGGGCGUACUUUGGCCAAACGAUCGCUACCUGGGGUGCCUGGAGUCGGGAGAGUGGUGUUGUCCGUGAAAUGGAGGUAUCGUCGGAUGUCCCUAAAGCGAUCGCGUGAGAUCUUCGAUGCAAUUG